This 253-nucleotide ribosomal RNA is filed under the name uncultured bacterium. RNAcentral describes it as "partial 16S ribosomal RNA". It matches the Rfam family "Bacterial small subunit ribosomal RNA", at positions 524 to 776 of the family's 1533-position model. The record is from RNAcentral.
GACAGAGGGGGCAAGCGUUGCUCGGAAUCACUGGGCGUAAAGGGCGCGUAGGCGGCCGAGCAAGUUAGAUGUGAAAGUCCUGGGCUUAACCUGGGGACUGCAUUUGAUACUGCUUGGCUUGAAUUCGGGAGAGGAUAGCGGAAUUCCCAGUGUAGAGGUGAAAUUCGUAGAUAUUGGGAAGAACACCGGUGGCGAAGGCGGCUAUCUGGACCGACAUUGACGCUGAGGCGCGAAAGCGUGGGGAGCAAACAGG